RNAcentral lists this microRNA precursor (68 nucleotides) under Spodoptera frugiperda (fall armyworm). RNAcentral describes it as "microRNA sfr-mir-10490 precursor". The record is from miRBase by way of RNAcentral. Lineage: Eukaryota; Metazoa; Arthropoda; Insecta; Lepidoptera; Noctuidae.
CCGAGACCUUUCCAACGAAUGCAAGACCGUGGAAAUCGGUUCGUGCGUUCUGGAGUUAUAGCGUCCGG